CUCGCUCUGUCGCCCAGGCUGGGGUACAUUGGCGCGAUCUCUGCUCACCGCAAGCUCCGCCUCCUGGGUUCACGUCAUUCUCCUGCCUCAGCCUCUCCAGUAGCUGGGACUACAGGCACCCGCCACCACGCCCGGCUAAUUUUUUGUAUUUUUAGUAGAGACGAGGUUUCACCAUGUUAGCCAGGAUGGUCUCCAUCUCCUGACCUCGUGAUCCGCCCGCCUCGGCCUCCCAAAGUGCCGGGAUUACAGGCGUGAGCCACCGCGCCCGGCCCACAGGCUGCAUUUUAAUAACACUCUCUGGUGAUUUGUACGCUUGUGUGUUGGAGACCUAUUAUAUUUGCCUAACUGUCGUUCUCUGCUUCAGGAAAUCUGUCAUUUAUCUGUUUCAGGAAAUGCUCUGACUCCAACACAUAAGGUUGGUUGCAUUUUCCCUGAUACAGAAGUGGGUGUAUAACUAAGUUAAGCUAUUUAGAGUAUGCUAUCCCUGUAAACAGAGUAAUUUGUCCAUUGCUGGGCAUGUGUAAGCAAGACCAAUCAGAGUCCAUUUUUUCAGAAAAAUAUGGGUGGUGGGAGAAAGGAAAUGCUCCUCUCUCUGGGAUUAUUAGCUGUAUGGAUAAUGCAAAUCCAAAAAUUGCUGUGGCCAUCUUUGCUGCAACAUAAAGGAAAGUUCUCUGAAGUGAUUCCAGAAAAGAGGAGGACAGAAGUCAGAGAUGGAGAGAGAUAGACCCUUGAUGACAUCAAAUGAGCCUCUGGAUCCAGCUCUGCCUGAAGUCAUCUGCCCCAUGAUUUUCAGUAAUGUGAAUCAACAACAUAUUCUGCUUUUCUAGCUAAUGCAGAGAACAGAGGAGAGAUGAGGCAAAAGGGAAUAUUAGACAGAUUCAAAGCUUGAAAAGGACUUGAUCCACUAUGAGGCCAUUAAUGAAGGAAUGCAGGCUGCCUGUAACAGUUGAAAAUCACCCCAGCCAACACCCAGCAAGGAAAUGGAGACCAUAGUCCUCUAACUGUAUGGAACUGAAUUCUGCCAACAAAGUGAAUAAGAUGGGAAGUGAAGACCCUCCCAGAGCCUCCAGAAAGGAAGAGAGCCAUUCAGACACCUUGAUUUCAGCCUUCUGAAACUUGGAGCAGAGAGCCGGCUGUGUCAACCUGAACCUGGGUUUUUAACCUACAAAACUGAGAAAUAAUGAAUAGUGAUUUUUUUUUUUAAAGAUGGAGUCUAGCUCCGUCACCCAGGCUGGAGUGCAGUGGCACGAAUAGUGAUUGUUUUAAGCCACUAAAUUUAUGGUAGUUUUGUUAGGGCAGCAAUAGAAAACUAAUACAUAUGUAAUAUAGCAUUUUAUAAACUAAAAUGUCAGGCAAAUAUGUGCUCUUAUAAUUUGAUAUUGCUAUCUAUUAGAGACAUUGGGUUAAAGAAUAUACUGAACCAAUGUUGUAUUUAUUAUAAGAAAGAUAAGGGUGGGAGAUGGAAAAAAUGAUGUUAAACUCAUGAAUUUAGUUUGCUUUGCAAAUGUUUAACUUUGAGGUUGCUUUUUUCCAGAUCCCUGGAGAUUUGGCCUUUCGGCAUACAGAGAGGUUUUAUUAAAGC
This is a long non-coding RNA of Homo sapiens (human), 1582 nucleotides long. Lineage: Eukaryota; Metazoa; Chordata; Mammalia; Primates; Hominidae. The record is from Ensembl.